GAUGAACGCUGGCGGCGUGCCUAAUACAUGCAAGUCGAGCGAACAGAUGAGGAGCUUGCGCCUCUGUCGUUAGCGGCGGACGGGUGAGUAACACGUGGAUAACCUCCCUAUAAGACUGGGAUAACUUCGGGAAACCGGAGCUAAUACCGGAGAAUAUCUUGCACCGCGUGGGGCGAUGGUGAAUGACGGUGUUGCGGUCACUUGUAGAUGCAUCCGGGCGGCAUUGGCUAGUUGGGAAGGUAAAGGCUUACCAAGGCAACCAUGCGUAGCCGACCUGACAGGGUGGUCGGCCACACGGGAGGUGAGCCAGGGUCCAGACUCCUACGGGAGGGACCAGUCGGGAAUCUUCGGCAAUGGGCGAGAGCAUGACGGAGCAAGGCGGCGUGAGUGAUGAAGGCCCUCGGAUCGUAAAGCCGUGUUAUUAGGGAAGAACCACUGUGUACGUAACCAUGGCCUUAGUGACGGUACCGGAUCAGAAAGCCACGGCUAACUACGUG
This 497-nucleotide ribosomal RNA is filed under the name uncultured bacterium. RNAcentral describes it as "partial 16S ribosomal RNA". It matches the Rfam family "Bacterial small subunit ribosomal RNA", at positions 28 to 507 of the family's 1533-position model. The record is from RNAcentral.